This 481-nucleotide ribosomal RNA is filed under the name uncultured organism. RNAcentral's name for it is "bacterial SSU rRNA". It matches the Rfam family "Bacterial small subunit ribosomal RNA", at positions 28 to 507 of the family's 1533-position model. The record is from RNAcentral.
GAUGAACGCUGGCGGCGUGCCUAACACAUGCAAGUCGAGCGGGAAAUACUUAAGCAAAUCUUCGGAAGAGCGAGGGUAUGGAGAGCGGCGGACGGGUGAGUAACGCGUAGGCAACCUGCCCCGUACAGAGGGAUAGCCUCGGGAAACCGGGAUUAAAACCUCAUAAUGCGAGAGACCCACCUGGAUCUUUCGCCAAAGAUUUAUCGGUAUGGGAUGGGCCUGCGUCUGAUUAGCUAGUUGGUGGGGUAACGGCUUACCAAGGCAGCGAUCAGUAGCCGACCUGAGAGGGUAAUCGGCCACAUUGGAACUGAGACACGGUCCAAACUCCUACGGGAGGCAGCAGUGGGGAAUAUUGCACAAUGGGCGAAAGCCUGAUGCAGCAACGCCGCGUGAGCGAUGAAGGCCUUUGGGUCGUAAAGCUCUGUCCUUGGGGAAGAAAAAAAUGACGGUACCCUUGGAGGAAGCCCCGGCUAACUACGUG